This 22-nucleotide non-coding RNA is filed under the name Arabidopsis thaliana (thale cress). Lineage: Eukaryota; Viridiplantae; Streptophyta; Magnoliopsida; Brassicales; Brassicaceae. The record is from RNAcentral.
UACCGGGUUUACUCGCAGGUCA